This 180-nucleotide ribosomal RNA is filed under the name uncultured soil bacterium. Its description in RNAcentral is "partial 16S rRNA". It matches the Rfam family "Bacterial small subunit ribosomal RNA", at positions 353 to 524 of the family's 1533-position model. The record is from RNAcentral.
AGUGGGGAAUAUUGGACAAUGGGCGAAAGCCUGAUCCAGCCAUGCCGCGUGUGUGAAGAAGGUCUUCGGAUUGUAAAGCACUUUNAGUUGGGAGGAAGGGCAGUAAGUUAAUACCUUGCUGUUUUGACGUUACCAACANAAUAAGCNCCGGCUAACUUCGUGCCAGCANACCGCGGUAAU